UAAGUGAGAACUUUCAAAUUCAGAGAAACCCCGGAAUUAAAAAAAUGGGCAAUCCUGAGCCAAAUCCUGUUUUCCAAAAACAAACAAAGGUUCAGAAGGUGAAAAAGGAUAGGUGCAGAGACUCAAUGGAAGCUGUUCUAACAAAUGGAGUUGACUGUGUUGCAUUGGUAGAGGAAUCCUUCCAUUGAAACUUCCGAAAAGAUGAAGGAUAUACGUAUAUACAUAUAUAUACGUACUGAAAUACUCUAUCAAAUGAUUAAUAACGACCUGAAUCUGUAUUUUUUAUAUGAAAAACGGAAAAAUUUGUUGUGAAUCGAUUCCAUAUUGAAGAAAGAAUGGAAUAUGCAUCGAUCAAAGCAUUCACCCCACAGUCUGAUAGUUCUUUUGAAGAACUAAUUAAUCGGACGAGAAUAAAGAUAGAGUCCCAUUCUACAUGUCAAUACUGGCAACAAUGAAAUUUAUAGUAAGAGGA
Molecule: non-coding RNA, 472 nt
Filed under: Petagnaea gussonei
Lineage: Eukaryota; Viridiplantae; Streptophyta; Magnoliopsida; Apiales; Apiaceae
Description: partial transfer RNA-Leu (UUA)
Rfam family: Group I catalytic intron
About the family: Group I catalytic introns are large self-splicing ribozymes. They catalyse their own excision from mRNA, tRNA and rRNA precursors in a wide range of organisms.
Source: RNAcentral